GGGCGGCUAGCUCAGUUGGUUAGAGCAACUGGUUUACACCCAGUAGGUUACAGGUUCGAGUCCUGUGUCGCCCACCA
RNAcentral lists this transfer RNA (77 nucleotides) under Puniceicoccales bacterium. Its description in RNAcentral is "tRNA-Val". It matches the Rfam family "tRNA". Rfam says of the family: Transfer RNA (tRNA) molecules are approximately 80 nucleotides in length. The record is from RNAcentral. Lineage: Bacteria; Pseudomonadati; Verrucomicrobiota; Opitutia; Puniceicoccales.